Molecule: ribosomal RNA, 915 nt
Filed under: uncultured archaeon
Lineage: Archaea
Description: bacterial SSU rRNA
Rfam family: Archaeal small subunit ribosomal RNA
Source: RNAcentral
UUCCGGUUGAUCCUGCCGGAGGCCACUGCUAUUGGGAUCCGAUUAAGCCAUGCGAGUCGAGAGGGUUCGGCCCUCGGCAGACUGCUCAGUAACACGUGGAUAACCUAACCUUAGGUGGAAGAUAACCUCGGGAAACUGAGAAUAAUAUUCCAUAGAUCUAGGAUGCUGGAAUGCAUCUAGAUUGAAAGUUCCGACGCCUAAGGAUGGGUCUGCGGACUAUCAGGUUGUAGUCAGGGUAAAGACCUGACUAGCCUACGACGGAUAUGGGUUGUGAGAGCAAUAGCCCAGAGACGAUAUCUGAGACACGAUAUCGGGCCCUACGGGGCGCAGCAGGCGCGAAAUCUUCACAAUGUGCGAAAGCACGAUGAGGGGAUCCCAAGUGCUGGCACGUAAGUGUCAGCUGUUUCUUAGUCUAAAAAACUGAGAGAGGAAGGGCUGGGUAAGACGGGUGCCAGCCGCCGCGGUAAUACCUGCAGCUCAAGUGGUGACCGCUAUUAUUGGGCCUAAAACGUUCGUAGCCGGCUGAGUAAAUGCUUGGGUAAAUCGUGCCGCUUAACGGUACGAAUUCCGGGUAGACUGCUCAGCUUGAGACCGGGAGAAGCUAGAGGUACUCCUGGGGUAGAGGUGAAAUUCUGUAAUCCUGGGGGGACCACCAGUGGCGAAGGCGUCUAGCUAGAACGGGUCUGACGGUGAGGGACGAAACCCUGGGGCGCAAACCGGAUUAGAUACCCGGGUAGUCCAGGGCGCAAACGCUGCUUGCUUGAUGUUAGCUGGGCUCCGGGCUCAGCUAGUGUCGGAGAGAAGUUGUUAAGCAAGCUGCCUGGGAAGUACGGUCGCAAGACUGAAACUUAAAGGAAUUGGCGGGGGAGCACAGCAACGGGUGGAGCGUGCGGUUUAAUUGGACUCAACGCCGGU